CACGGUGUACGAUAUAUGAAUAUGAAUGUGAUGUGGUAGUUAAAUGAAAUGGGCGAUCAAACUCAACGCUUUCUCUUUAAAAUAAAUGGGACAAAAAAAUGCAUUUGUCUAUUCACAAAAUGGACUAUUUUGACUUGAGCUCACAAUUUUUUUGGAUAUUAUAAUAUGACUAAAACAACCACAAAAGUUUCAAAGAAAAAUCUUAGUUUAAUUGUAGUUUUAGUCU
Molecule: long non-coding RNA, 226 nt
Filed under: Medicago truncatula (barrel medic)
Lineage: Eukaryota; Viridiplantae; Streptophyta; Magnoliopsida; Fabales; Fabaceae
Description: long non-coding RNA (MTRU_LNC001103)
Source: RNAcentral